AUGGGUCAUCCCCAAAUUGGCGUAUCAGAAACCUGUUCCCUCAAUUUGCUGUGCCGUUGCCGCCAACUGUUUUCGAUUUGCCAAGACAAGACUUUGUUGUCCCACGUAACAGCCAUGAAGGUCAAAAUUCUUCAGUGGCAUGCGGUGGCUUCUUGGACAUGGGACGCACAGGAUGAGACAUGUGGCAUAUGCAGGAUGGCUUUUGACGGCUGCUGCCCUGAUUGUAAGUUCCCUGGUGAUGAUUGCCCAAUCAUUUGGGGUGCCUGCAACCAUGCUUUCCAUCUUCACUGCAUACUCAAGUGGGUCAAUUCUCAAACAUCAACCCCCCUUUGCCCCAUGUGCCGUAGGGAGUGGCAAUUCAAGGGCUAA
RNAcentral lists this ribosomal RNA (369 nucleotides) under Triticum aestivum (bread wheat). Its description in RNAcentral is "partial small subunit ribosomal RNA". The record is from RNAcentral. Lineage: Eukaryota; Viridiplantae; Streptophyta; Magnoliopsida; Poales; Poaceae.